UACGAAGGGGGCUAGCGUUGCUCGGAAUUACUGGGCGUAAAGGGCGCGUAGGCGGAUGGCACAGUCAGAUGUGAAAUUCCCGGGCUUAACCUGGGGGCUGCAUUUGAUACGUUUUGUCUUGAGUUCGGAAGAGGGUCGUGGAAUUCCCAGUGUAGAGGUGAAAUUCGUAGAUAUUGGGAAGAACACCGGUGGCGAAGGCGGCGACCUGGUCCGACACUGACGCUGAGGCGCGAAAGCGUGGGGAGCAAACAGG
RNAcentral lists this ribosomal RNA (253 nucleotides) under uncultured bacterium. Its description in RNAcentral is "partial 16S ribosomal RNA". It matches the Rfam family "Bacterial small subunit ribosomal RNA", at positions 524 to 776 of the family's 1533-position model. The record is from RNAcentral.